GGUAGAGACACCCGUUUCUUGGGAAGCUGGUGACACUGUUAAUUCAUUUCACACCAGCUUGACAGCAGCAGCUGGGUGGGAGUCAGAGAUGAGUGAUGGGAAAGCAAUAGGAUUUCCUCUCUCCUGAGAGAGCCAGUUACCCCCACCCCCGGUGUUAUUUCAGUUUUAAACAUCCUGAUACACUCAAGUCAGAACUCAAUAUUAGACGUAACAUGGCACUUAAUUUUACCAGUUUGUCACACUUUCUGUUCUUAUGUGCUCUUGUUUAUCUACUAGGUAGCGAUUCUCAAACUUUAAUGCAACCAUCACCUGACGGGCCUGGUAAAAUAGAGCGUGCUGGGCCCCGUCCACCCAAACUGCUGAUUCAGUGGCUGUGGUGUGGGCACAAGAAUUCGCAUUGCCAACAAGUUGCCAGGAGAUACUGCUGCUGCUGACCUGGGCCCACUCCUUGAGAGCCACUGUGUGAAGACACUAAGCAUAGCUCUUUGUGGUCAUUGGGCAAGUAGAUUUAGAGUUCUUAAAAUAGCAGGAAUUACAGCUGCCAUUCACCGUGACCUGUGAUCGACUGCCUACCUCCUUUGGUGAGGUCUUCUUCUGCAAGACAGUAUGCAAGGGUGUGUGUGUGUGUGUGUGUGUGUGAACAAAGACUUCUGAGCCCAUGACCUCUGGGGGUUCUUCAGAGACCUCUGCUUUUCUAUACAAGCAGGAGGUGAAAAGUUCCUGGCCCUGAUAUGGCUGGGAGAAAGUCACUUACUCUUUUUCUAUUGUUUGUUUCAUGUGAUCAAAAGGAAAAAUGAUAUUGUCUCUACUGCUCAGGAGUGCAUGGGAAUUAAUUAAAACCUAUUAAAACCUUUGAUUUCAUUCAUACAGUUCAAUUAAAAAUAUUAAUUGAAUAUCUACUUUAUGCCAACUUUGUUCUACAUGCUGGAGACACAGUAGUGAACAGACUAAAGUAAGCUCCUGAUCAAGCGGAACCUAUUUUCUAGUGGCAGGGAUAGGAAAUAAACACACAGAAGGGUCAAUAUGAUGUGAGUCCAAUGGCAACAGAUGAUAUGGGGGAAAUAAAGUUGAGUGUGGGAGACAGGGUGUGGUGGGAUUGGAAGUAUUUGCCAUUUAUGUGCGUGCAUGUGUGUUUGUGCAUGUGCACACAUGCAGUGGUCAGGGGGCAUCUCCAAGAAAGUGACACUCAGGUGUAGACUUGAAGGAAGUGAGGGAGUGAGCCAUGUGGAAAUGUAGAGGAAGAGUGCUCCAGGCAGAAGAAACAGCACAUGCAAAGGCCCUGAGGUGAGAGCACCGUUGGUAUUUCAAGGAAUAGCCAAGAAGCUAGUGUGGCUGCUGUGGAGUAAUGAAAAGGAGAGGGUGCGAGAGAAAUUCAGAGAGGUAACCAGAGCCAGAUUGUAUAGGACCUUGUAAGCUAUUGUAAAGAUUUUGGUGAGGUGGGCAUCAUUGGAGGGUUUUGAGGGGAGGAGGGGGGCAGCCAGAUUUGCAUAUGAAAAGGCUUUUCCUGGCUGCUGAGUGGAGCCUGCUGUUGUAGGGGAUUGAUGGGGGAGGCAGGAAGCCCAGUUAGGAUGCAGUUUCAAUAACCAAGGCAAGUGGUGAUAGUUGAAGGGAUCAGGAUGGACAGGUGAAGGUGGCAGGUGAUGGGGUUUUGAAGGAAGAGCCAAUAAGCUUUACUCCUUUAGAUGCAAGGCAGGAGAGACAGGAUCAAGGAGGUCUCCAGGAUUUUCAACUGGAAGAACAGAGUUGCCGUCAACCGAGUCGGAGAACCCUUCACAAGAAGCAGACCUGUGGUCCGGCUGAUGCCAGGAGCCAAAGGAAACGUCACAAGAAAAGGAAAGCAAUAUAGGAUAUCAAAGAAAAUGAGCCAAAUCCUACCACCUCAACAGAGCUGAUAUCUUUAGUUUCCCAUGAUUCUUUCCGUUUCAUAUUCAUAUCCACUCCUAGUUUCCCACCAGGAGUAGUUAACAUUAUUGAGUGGCUAGUAUAGGAGACAGGCAUAUGAUAAGCAUUUCUCAAGCAUUAUCUCCUUGAAUCCUCACAACACCCCAGAAUAAAGAUGACAAAAGCUGAGCCAGGUAGGGUAACGCGCAGCUAGUGAGGGGCGGAGCUGGACAUUUCACCCAGGACUGUCCAACUGCAAAAUCCCCAGUUAUUCCCUACUAUGCUGCAUUUCUUUGUUUCACAUAUAUAUAUACAUAAAACCGGAGAACCCUAAAUCUUACAGCUUUUGGGGCCAACCUUUCCUUUCUCUUGUGCUGAGAGAAUCCCUCACCUUCCACAAUAUUCCCACAUGCGUCCAGGGAUCACUUCCCUGAAAUGUCUCAAAUAGGGAAGGCAGAGAUCCCCAGGGACAAAUGUGUGGUCCACAAGGAGGUGUACUGACUUGUUACAGCAUGGGACAGUGCUCCGGGGACCAGGGAGUGCUUCAUCGGACGCAGGAAGCCACCAGCUUGUUACAGGACUUGGGAAAAUGGUGGGAUUCAGCUAAAAUUCAAAUGAAGCUGUGUUUUAAUGCCCUCAAAGCAAAUAGCGCUGUGUAUAAAGGAAUUAACACCAGCCUGGGCCGAGGGGCAGACUGAGUCCUGUUUCCUUGGAAGCUAUAGGGUCAGGAGAAUGUAGCAUCCAAAAACCCCUUAUCUGAAGCUCUGCAGCUGGGUUGCAAAUCCGGGCUCCUUCUCUGUGUCCAAGACGGCUCGGCUCCCCAAGGGUCACAGAAUGCAGCUGGCUUCGCCUUGUUCCCGUCUUUCCGAGCUCUCUCACCCUGCUCUGGUCCUGCGUCUGUCCAUUCCCAUAAGUUCCACUUACAUUGGGCUGCCGAUCGAUGCUUGUUUGCAUGCUUGGGGUCAUGGCGUGGCAUUACAGGACAAUGAAGAUGACAGUGCGAUGUUGCUCUAUCAAGAUGACUGUCUUAAAAAUUGCUUCCUGACUCCAGGUAAGUUGCCCAUUGGCCAGUCUUGCUUCCUGCCAUUCAUUUCGGCUUCUGUCCCCUUCUCGGGAUUCUUCUCUCCUAGGCCUCUUCUCCCCCAGUUUGGGGCUUCUUACUGUUCCACUCAACACAAUAUGCUUAAAUACGCCCUGCCUUCUUAGGCAGGGUGGUUCCACUCUUUCUUUCCCUUCUCCUUCCAAAUCAUGAUGGUGGCUGAUGGCUCCUUUCCUUUCCCGGGUAAAGGGCCUCCUCAAGGUGGAGUGGUGGGACAGGCGCCUGGCUGCGAGGGCUCAAGAAAGCAUGGGAGAGAGGGAGGGGAGGGGCUCAGAGGGUCUCUAUGGUACGCUCAUAGAAGAGACUAACUCCUCUGGUGCCAGAUACGCCAUCACGAUAGGCGCUGAAGAUGCAAACACAGGUGUAGCUUGUUUGUAUUUAAAACACAUUCUCAGAGUUGCGAUAGCAUUAUAUUAAAAAGAUUUACCUGGUUUAGAAUUGAUGCGCCCAGGAUGAGGAUCUGGUGUCCUCUAUCUUGAAGACAGACUUGGGAGGAACGAAUUGGAAAGAGGCGGCUUAAGCGAUGGUGUUAUCUACGCUGAGCAGGGAGCCAGAAUUUCUCACGCUUGGGCACAUGCCUUGAGUAAUUGAAGAGCUCCAGCUGGGCUGCAGGGCUGACCUAAUCCAAGCAAGGAAACCAGCAGGCACUCAUCUCACAGAGCUGCCACUCAUCUAUUGAAGACAAUUUUUAUGGAGGGCGUACCUGGUGCCUCGGACUGUGCAAGGCUUAUUGAUAACAGCGCUCCAGUCUCCCUGGGCCGCUGAUCAGAUUAAUGUAAGUGAUUAGCAAUGAUUGUGGUAAGAGCUGAGGACGGCUGCUUGUCUACACUGUUGUGAAACGGAUAUGGGCUUUUACCGUCAAAGCUGUCCCGUCUUUAAACAAGAGUCAGAACGGACAGCAGAAUCUGACUUCUGAUGGGCUCCAGAGAACCGCUGCUACAUGUUUAUUCAAAUAACAGUCCUGAUCUGAACAGUAAUUUGGCUCCAGCAUCCAUGGAAGGCAAGAUGGAAGCUCUGCUCUUCUAGGCUUCUGGCAACUUUGAUUAGAAAUCCAUCAGAGCUCAUAUCCUCAUCUUCUUCUUGUUGCCUCUUUCCAUGUUCCUGAUAUUGCCCAGGAGUCCAGGCUGCUUCAGCCUUAAUGACAUGCAGACAUUCUGAAAAUACAUCAGACGCACCCGGCCUAAUAUGGAUGAUCAGCCCAGGAAACGGGAGCACGGAGAGUGACAGCCACACAGGUCUCACGGCUGUUAUAGGAGGAAGAAAGGACUGCCACUGGGGACCGUGGACCUCCAGUCCUGGGUUCUUCCUGCUCCAGCCACAGCCCCUGAACCGCUUAUUUGUACUUCUUUACCAGCAUUAACUUAGGGGUUCCCCACGUGUGUUAAUGGUCAUUGUCACCUUCUCACUUACCUUCUCUUUGCUGCAUACAGUAAUAUGCCCUGAAGAGAAAAUACUCCUAGGACUAGAGGAAGAGUUUAUUACGCUAUAGACAAACACUUUCUAGAAAGACCAUGCAAUGAUCACCAUGAAAGUU
RNAcentral lists this long non-coding RNA (4514 nucleotides) under Equus asinus (donkey). Its description in RNAcentral is "lncRNA (ENSEASG00005034220.1)". Lineage: Eukaryota; Metazoa; Chordata; Mammalia; Perissodactyla; Equidae. The record is from RNAcentral.